CGUAACUGUAACUAUGCGGUAGACAAGAGACCGAAACGAGGAAGCCUCUUUUGUAUGGAAGAAAGCGUUUUAUAAACCAAGGUUAGAGUUCGUGAGGCGUGGUUCACUUUCUACUUUAUUUCGUGCAUUGGAGGCAGUUUCAGGACAUUGACUGCUUUGUAAGAAAACCAAACCACACAAACAGCAGCUAAAACUGAAGAGGCUGAAGAAAACUGCGAAGUGUUUUACGAAGUCCCACAAAAUCAACAUGUCAUAUGAGCUCUGAACUGAAUGUGCCUCAAGUAAUGCUGUGUAAUACAAGUCAAGAUACAUUUAUGAAAUAUUCUAAUGAAGUAUAAUCCAUACCAAUUGCUAGGCCAUCACAAAAGUUAUGAAGUCCAUCUCCCAUGAUGACCAUCCAUGCUACUGCGGUUACCGAUUGAGGUAUUUCAUGACUAUGACCAUGCCCAUGGCCAUGAUGUUCAGACACAAUGACAGAACUUUCAGAAUCUGGUCUAUAAGCUACGCUCACCUCGGGCUCAAGGCUAAAGCUG
This is a long non-coding RNA of Stegodyphus dumicola, 533 nucleotides long. RefSeq lists it as uncharacterized. The record is from RefSeq and is a predicted model, not a curated record. NCBI's taxonomy places the organism in Eukaryota, Metazoa, Arthropoda, Arachnida, Araneae, Eresidae.